RNAcentral lists this long non-coding RNA (1854 nucleotides) under Musa acuminata (dwarf banana). RNAcentral describes it as "long non-coding RNA (MACU_LNC006809)". The record is from RNAcentral. Lineage: Eukaryota; Viridiplantae; Streptophyta; Magnoliopsida; Zingiberales; Musaceae.
CCAAAAUGUCGAAGGAAAGUACCGUCGAUGUUUGAGUCAGCCCGAUUGAUCUAGACUCGAAGGCAGAGAAAUGUUCAAGGUCCCCUCUAAGUGGCCCGGACGUAUUUGAGGUGGCUCCGAGGUGGACUUGGAGUGGCUCCGAGGUAGGGGUUCGACUUCCUGGGCACUUCCUACAUAAAGACUAGUGUCGGGAGAAGUUUCCUGACCCGAUCCCUCUGAUGCUCAAGUCAGUCCGAGGUUCCUUUUGGGGUAUGGGGUGUUCUCCAAAAAAAGUGUCCCUUAGGCCGACACUAGGGUGGUCAAUUGAGGGGGCACCUUGUAACGACCCCAUCGUCCCCCUUUGGCGUCUUGCCCACGGGGGCAAAAAGGGAGGACAAGCCCGAACGAUCUCCCGUGGACUAUUGUCCAUGGGGCUUGAGAAGCUAUAAUUGCCUCCCAUGUCGGCGACAAGGGGAGGAUGAUUAGGGCCCUUUCUUCCGCAUCAGCAUCCUCGAGGUGAUUAGUUGGUAGGUGGUGAUUGGCUGUCAAAAUAUUCUCUAUCAUCGAUGUUGUGCACCUUUAUGUUGUGGCCUGGAAUCGGCACUGUAUGGUCCAAUCUUGAAAGCGCAAGGUCAUCCAUGUGGCUUCUCAUGGGAAGAAAGAUAGGGGAGCGAGGUCGAGCCGAGGAGGUCGGCUCAGGGGCUACGAUCGAAUCUUCGAGGACGUCUUGAGGUGGCAUCACGUUGUGCUCAAUCUGCCAGGAUCCUACACGAUAGGUCAAUGUCGGGGGGAGGUUCCUAACCCGACCCCUCCUGUGGUUAAGUUUGUGAGUGUAGGUGUCUUUUUUUUGUCUCCCCUUAUCCCAGGAUAGGGAAUUGGUAUUUAUACAUGCGAAAAUGGCUCGGAAGUACGAUGAUUGAUAGUGACCACCGGUACCUCCCAAGGCAUGGUCACGCAGGCAACCGACCCGUAUGCCCCCUACGGCAUGGGUUGGCCCAUCCGGGUUUCUAGGGCACAACAUCGACUCGUAUAGUCCCGUGUGGCACGGGACCGGGUGGAAGGGUGCUGCCUACCAGGUUAGAGGCCUGCAUCAAUCAGAUGUCGGGUUGAGUUCCAUGUCAGCUCCACGGUGGCCGCCAACUAGCGAACUGUAGUUAGUGCGAGAAUAUUCCCUAUCAAUCGGCGAUGUUCGAAUCAGCUUAAUACGAUUCGGGCCCAUGUGCACAAGAGAGGUGAGAUAUCCGAAUCUUACUGUUGUUUUGGACUGAUGUCCAUGUGGCCUAGCUGUUGAUUGGGUCUUGCCCCCUCACUGCUGAUUGUGUUGCCAUGUGUCAAGCCACCAUUGGGGGAGAAGAUUUCCACUAUCACCUUUGCUUUGAAAAAAAAAUAAAAAGAUAUCUUAAUUAAUUUAUAGUGCCUACUCUGGUGCAUUCUUGUGUUUUUCCUUAAUUGAUUUGCCUCUGAUGAAGAUGGCAAGAUAUCAGUAAAUCAACCAUCUGCAAGCAACAUAAAUCUAUAUAGUGAAUCAGGACAACCAAGUUUACUUGCCGGCUUGCUGCAUCCAUGUUCAUUUCUACAAUGCAAGAAAUCGGCAGGAGAUGUAACUCUUAAGGUAUUUGCUUGUGCUGAAUCCCAAAGGAUUUUCGUCUUGUAUCUAACUUUUCUUUUUCUUUUUGUCUUGGACAGAUUGAGUUAAAGGUCCAUAAAUGGAGGCAGUAAGGAUUUGCAACAUUAUGUUGAGGUGAGUGAUUUUAUCCAUUUUGGAAGCUGGUCGACUUGGAUUGUUUAACCCUUGUUGUUUAACCCUUGAUUUUAUCCAUGCUGUGGCCUAGAGUCGGCACUGCUUGGUCCAAUCUUGAAAGCGCAAGGUCGUCC